This 440-nucleotide ribosomal RNA is filed under the name uncultured bacterium. RNAcentral's name for it is "partial 16S ribosomal RNA". It matches the Rfam family "Bacterial small subunit ribosomal RNA", at positions 338 to 795 of the family's 1533-position model. The record is from RNAcentral.
CCUACGGGAGGCUGCAGUGGGGAAUAUUGCACAAUGGGGGAAACCCUGAUGCAGCGACGCCGCGUGAGUGAAGAAGUAAUUCGUUAUGUAAAGCUCUAUCAGCAGGGAAGAAAAUGACGGUACCUGAGUAAGAAGCCCCGGCUAACUACGAGCCAGCAGCCGCGGGAAGACGUAGGGGGCAAGCGUUAUCCGGAUUUACUGGGUGUAAAGGGAGCGUAGACGGCAGUGCAAGUCAGGAGUGAAAGGCGGGGGCUCAACCCCCGGACUGCUCUGGAAACUGUACGGCUGGAGUGCAGGAGAGGUAAGUGGAAUUCCUAGUGUAGCGGUGAAAUGCGUAGAUAUUAGGAGGAACACCAGUGGCGAAGGCGGCUUACUGAACUGUAACUGACGUUGAGGCUCGAAAGCGUGGGGAGCAAACAGGAUUAGAUACCCUUGUAGUC